Long non-coding RNA from Passer montanus (Eurasian tree sparrow), 324 nucleotides. RefSeq lists it as uncharacterized. The record is from RefSeq and is a predicted model, not a curated record. NCBI's taxonomy places the organism in Eukaryota, Metazoa, Chordata, Aves, Passeriformes, Passeridae. The transcript has 3 exons.
CUCUGUGAGGGUGAAAGAGUCAGUGCUCUGAGGAGCUGCCCAUGAGACAACACCAAUAAGGCACAUCGAUCUCGGGCACGCACAUCACUCGUAAUCUCCUGCUGUAACUGGCAAACCAAAGUGUAAAAAACGAGGCUGGCAGGGCUGAGCUAGGAGAUUAAAGAAGAAAAAUGUUAAGAGGGACAACUAAGAACAAAUCUUUGCAGCAAAAUGAAAAGAUGGAGAGAGCACUGCCUGUAGCCAGCCCUACAACCAUGGGGCUUCAGCCAAGCAGAGCAGAGGAGUGUUCCAGUGCUGCAGAGAGGUCUCUGGACUUCUCACAGA